This 1187-nucleotide ribosomal RNA is filed under the name Vibrio cholerae. RNAcentral's name for it is "partial 23S ribosomal RNA". It matches the Rfam family "Bacterial large subunit ribosomal RNA", at positions 1 to 1245 of the family's 2925-position model. RNAcentral also lists the same sequence under 1 other name. The record is from RNAcentral. Lineage: Bacteria; Pseudomonadati; Pseudomonadota; Gammaproteobacteria; Vibrionales; Vibrionaceae.
GGUUAAGUGACUAAGCGUACACGGUGGAUGCCUGGGCAGUCAGAGGCGAUGAAGGACGUACUAACUUGCGAUAAGCGCAGAUAAGGCAGUAAGAGCCGUUUGAGUCUGCGAUUUCCGAAUGGGGAAACCCAACUGCAUAAGCAGUUACUGUUAACUGAAUACAUAGGUUAACAGAGCAAACCGGGGGAACUGAAACAUCUAAGUACCCCGAGGAGAAGAAAUCAACCGAGAUUCCGGUAGUAGCGGCGAGCGAACCUGGAUUAGCCCUUAAGCACUCGGUGAAGUAGGUGAACAAGCUGGAAAGCUUGGCGAUACAGGGUGAUAGCCCCGUAACCGACGCUUCAUCGAGCGUGAAAUCGAGUAGGGCGGGACACGUGAUAUCCUGUCUGAAUAUGGGGGGACCAUCCUCCAAGGCUAAAUACUCCUGACUGACCGAUAGUGAACCAGUACCGUGAGGGAAAGGCGAAAAGAACCCCUGUGAGGGGAGUGAAAUAGAACCUGAAACCGUGUACGUACAAGCAGUAGGAGCACCUUCGUGGUGUGACUGCGUACCUUUUGUAUAAUGGGUCAGCGACUUAUAUUCAGUGGCAAGGUUAACCGUAUAGGGGAGCCGUAGCGAAAGCGAGUCUUAACUGGGCGCUCAGUCUCUGGAUAUAGACCCGAAACCGGGUGAUCUAGCCAUGGGCAGGUUGAAGGUUGAGUAACAUCAACUGGAGGACCGAACCGACUAAUGUUGAAAAAUUAGCGGAUGACUUGUGGCUAGGGGUGAAAGGCCAAUCAAACUCGGAGAUAGCUGGUUCUCCCCGAAAGCUAUUUAGGUAGCGCCUCGGACGAAUACUACUGGGGGUAGAGCACUGUUAAGGCUAGGGGGUCAUCCCGACUUACCAACCCUUUGCAAACUCCGAAUACCAGUAAGUACUAUCCGGGAGACACACGGCGGGUGCUAACGUCCGUCGUGGAGAGGGAAACAACCCAGACCGCCAGCUAAGGUCCCAAAGUAUUGCUAAGUGGGAAACGAUGUGGGAAGGCUCAGACAGCUAGGAUGUUGGCUUAGAAGCAGCCAUCAUUUAAAGAAAGCGUAAUAGCUCACUAGUCGAGUCGGCCUGCGCGGAAGAUGUAACGGGGCUAAGCAAUACACCGAAGCUGCGGCAAUGUCUUUUAGACAUUGGGUAGGGGAGCGUUCUGUA